AGCGAACGCUAGCGGCGGGCUUAACACAUGCAAGUCGAGCGCUUCACUUCGGUGAAGAGCGGCGGACGGGUGAGUAACACGUAGGUUAUCUGCCUUUUGGUGGGGGACAACCCAGGGAAACUUGGGCUAAUACCGCAUAUGGUCCACGGAUCAAAGCCUUCGGGCGCCAAAAGAUGAGCCUGCGGCCCAUUAUUUAAUCCUUGUUGGUGGGGUAAUGGCCUACCAAGGGUACGAUGGGUAGCUGGUCUGAGAGGAUGAUCAGCCACACUGGGACUGAGACACGGCCCAG
This 289-nucleotide ribosomal RNA is filed under the name uncultured bacterium. RNAcentral describes it as "partial 16S ribosomal RNA". It matches the Rfam family "Bacterial small subunit ribosomal RNA", at positions 29 to 334 of the family's 1533-position model. The record is from RNAcentral.